Small nucleolar RNA from Lutra lutra (Eurasian river otter), 128 nucleotides. RefSeq annotates it as small nucleolar RNA SNORA41. The record is from RefSeq and is a predicted model, not a curated record. The transcript has a single exon. NCBI's taxonomy places the organism in Eukaryota, Metazoa, Chordata, Mammalia, Carnivora, Mustelidae.
UGCCGUAGCUACUAGUCUUUAGCUGUCCUUAUGGUAGCAGUUGUGGCAUUCCACUGUGAAAAACUGUUAAGUGAUUAAACACCCCUUUCUUAGUAAAAUAGAAGUGGGCAUAUGUUUGACAAACAGAA